GGUAUGGUGGCUCAGUGGUUAGAGCACCCGCCUCAUGAACGGGAGGUCGUGGGUUCGAUCCCCGGCCGAGUCA
Molecule: transfer RNA, 73 nt
Filed under: Strongylocentrotus purpuratus (purple sea urchin)
Lineage: Eukaryota; Metazoa; Echinodermata; Echinoidea; Camarodonta; Strongylocentrotidae
Rfam family: tRNA
About the family: Transfer RNA (tRNA) molecules are approximately 80 nucleotides in length.
Source: Rfam by way of RNAcentral